AGAGUUUGAAGAAAUUUGUUUUAAAAACAGCGGUAUGGAGUUCUGGAUUCAUAGUUUGGUUGGUCAGAAAUUGGAGGAAAGGACGACCGAGUUUAAAGGAUUUGUUGUAUCUGAGUUUCAAAGAGAGAAUGGACCAGUUUCUGCCACCCAGAGUCGUUAAGAAAUUGCAUAUCAUUUGUAGUUACAUAAUGAAUAGUGUAUCUAGAAGAAAUUUAAGAAUAGAAGUGAUGUUAAAAGUUGGUUUAAAAGUCUAGAAGUUUUUCGACUAUAGACUCUGCACCUAGUGGGGUCCAUGGUCGGCGCGGUCCGUUCUUGAACUAGUAGGUG
Molecule: long non-coding RNA, 327 nt
Organism: Momordica charantia (bitter melon)
Lineage: Eukaryota; Viridiplantae; Streptophyta; Magnoliopsida; Cucurbitales; Cucurbitaceae
Source: RefSeq, a predicted model, not a curated record